AUGUCUGCCAUAGCACGGUUCUUGACAAUAAAGUCACAACACAAUCAACCUGAAUCUUGUUAUAAUGAUACACUACAACUGAUCCAUGAGCUGCUGCCUAACAAUUCCUCACUGCCAAAGGACUUCUAUAGGUCAAAGAAAUUGCUAGAGGGUCUUGGUAUGCCAUAUCAUAAAAUUCAUGUUUGUCCCAAAACUUGCAUGUUGUAUUACAAGGACAAUAAGAAUAAGCAGAAAUGUGAUUUUUGUAAGACCCCUAGGUACAAGGCUGGUUCAAAAAAGAUCCCACGUAAGGUGUUGCGGCACUUGCCUAUAAAAGAUAGGUUGCAGCGAUUGUUUGCACAUGAGGAGACCGCAAAAAUGUUGCGAUCGCACAAAGAAACUCCUGGUAAAAUGGUGCACCCACGUGAUGGUGAAGCAUGGCAACAACUUGAUAAGGAUUACCCAGACUUUGCAUUAGAUCCUAGGAAUCAGCGAGUAGUUGUAUCCACAGAUGGCUUCACUCCUUAUAGUUUGUCCGCUGCUUCUUAUUCAUGCUGGCUAGUGUUUGUGGUUAGUUUAAAUCGGCCUCCUGAAGUCAUAAAUCGUUCUGAGUACAUAUUUCUUGCUCUUGUUAUCCUGGAGAAAAACUCAAUGUCCUUAUGCAACCUUUGGUUGAUGAAUUGA
Molecule: ribosomal RNA, 663 nt
Filed under: Triticum aestivum (bread wheat)
Lineage: Eukaryota; Viridiplantae; Streptophyta; Magnoliopsida; Poales; Poaceae
Description: partial small subunit ribosomal RNA
Source: RNAcentral